AGGAGCUGUGUUUUUGAGCAGGAGAGAGAGGGUGGGCUCUUGUGCACAAGGAAAGGUCUUGCUUUGGAGAGGAGCCUGGCUGCUUACCAAUAGCGACAAGAAGGAAGGCUGAGCAAACGGAAAGAUGACCAAGUUCCAGGAAGGUGAAGUUAUCUGGCCAGGAGAUCCAGAGUCACACCUCGAGUGGACUGCGUGGGGCUGCAUUCAGCGAGUGCACUAGUUCAACUCUAAGCCUCAAUUUUGGAAAAUGGAGUCAUAAUACCUAUCUCAUAGGAUUGUCUGAAGUCCAUGGAGUAUGCUGCGCAGUAGUAAUAGUGCUCGUUGGGAUGGCAUAGGAAUAGCAGGAGAAGAGCAGAAGAUUGCAGCGCUAAUGGUCGUUCUUGAAGUAGAGGUGGUGUGAUUUUGCGGCCUUGUGGCUGUUGUCAAUGUUGCAGUUGCUGCUGACAUCGUUGCGACAACAGUAGCUGCUGUGGUGGUAGAAUUUGGGCAGAACUCAGGCUAGAUUCCCUACUGAGGACUUCUUUCAUUUUACCUAUCUUACUAAAGUUCCCAAUUCGUUACUUUGUGCCCCAAGAAAAGGCAGAAUUCUGUCUGAGAUACAUACCCAUGUGUGCUUCUAUGAGGAUAUUAAUCCUCAUUUUUUCCUCUGAUACAGAAGAGCACAAAGUGACACCUACUUGUAGUUCAAUCACAACCUCUGUUGUCAGUUGCCCCUGACCCCAGGGAAACCCAAAUGUUUGUUUGGAGCUAUAGGAGUGGCCAUGUUUAAAGAAUGAAGUAAAAAUGAUGUUUCUGACACUAAUCUUUUUGAUUUGCUUUCUUGACAAAGUGAGUUUCUUU
This 840-nucleotide long non-coding RNA is filed under the name Equus asinus (donkey). RNAcentral's name for it is "lncRNA (ENSEASG00005035619.1)". Lineage: Eukaryota; Metazoa; Chordata; Mammalia; Perissodactyla; Equidae. The record is from RNAcentral.